UCUCCGUUGGUGAACCAGCGGAGGGAUCAUUACAGGACUCGCAAGACUCCUACAACCCUGUGAACUUAACUAUAAGCACGUUGCUUCGGCGGGUGUCUCGGAGGGGGUUCUCCCUCCCCGAGACGCCAAACCCGCCGGCAGCCUACUAUACUCUGUCUCUUUGCGUUGGCAUCUCGAGUACAAUCAAACAAGUUAAAACUUUCAACAACGGAUCUCUUGGUUCUGACAUCGAUGAAGAACGCAGC
This 245-nucleotide unclassified non-coding RNA is filed under the name plant metagenome. RNAcentral's name for it is "partial contains small subunit ribosomal RNA, internal transcribed spacer 1, and 5.8S ribosomal RNA". The stretch from base 197 to 245 matches the Rfam family "5.8S ribosomal RNA", at positions 1 to 49 of the family's 154-position model. The record is from RNAcentral.